Molecule: ribosomal RNA, 492 nt
Filed under: uncultured bacterium
Lineage: Bacteria
Description: partial 16S ribosomal RNA
Rfam family: Bacterial small subunit ribosomal RNA
Source: RNAcentral
AGUGAACGCUGGCGGUAGGCCUAACACAUGCAAGUCGAACGGCAGCACAGUAAGAGCUUGCUCUUACGGGUGGCGAGUGGCGGACGGGUGAGGAAUACAUCGGAAUCUACUUUUUCGUGGGGGAUAACGUAGGGAAACUUAAGCUAAUACCGCAUACGACCUACGGGUGAAAGCAGGGGAACUUCGGACCUUGCGCGAUUGAAUGAGCCGAUUUCGGAUUAGCUAGUGGGGCGGGUAAAUGCCCACCCAGGCGACGGUCGGUGGCUGGUGUGGGAGGAUGGUCAGCGACACUGGAACUGGGCCGCGGACAAUACUACUACGGGAGGCAGCAGUGGGGAAUAUUAGGCAAUGGGGGCAAGCCUGGUCCAGCGAUACCGAGUGGGUGAAGAAGACCUUCGGUUUGUAAAGCCCUUUUGUUGGGAAAGAAAAGCAGCAGCUUAAUACCCCGCUGUUCUGACGGUACCCAAAGAAUAAGCACCGGCUAACUUCGUG